This 492-nucleotide ribosomal RNA is filed under the name uncultured bacterium. RNAcentral describes it as "partial 16S ribosomal RNA". It matches the Rfam family "Bacterial small subunit ribosomal RNA", at positions 29 to 507 of the family's 1533-position model. The record is from RNAcentral.
AGUGAACGCCGGCGGUAGGCCUAACACAUGCGAGUCGAACGGCAGCACAGUAAGAGCUUGCUCUUACGGGUGGCGAGUGGCGGACGGGUGAGGAAUACAUCGGAAUCUACUUUUUCGUGGGGGAUAACGUAGGGAAACUUACGCUAAUACCGCAUACGACCUACGGGUGAAAGCAGGGGAUCUUCGGACCUUGCGCGAUUGAAUGAGCCGAUGUCGGAUUAGCUAGUUGGCGGGGUAAAGGCCCACCAAGGCGACGAUCCGUAGCUGGUCUGAGAGGAUGAUCAGCCACACUGGAACUGAGACACGGUCCAGACUCCUACGGGAGGCAGCAGUGGGGAAUAUUGGACAAUGGGCGCAAGCCUGAUCCAGCCAUACCGCGUGGGUGAAGAAGGCCUUCGGGUUGUAAAGCCCUUUUGUUGGGAAAGAAAAGCAGCAGGUUAAUACCCCGCUGUUCUGACGGUACCCAAAGAAUAAGCACCGGCUAACUUCGUG